GACGUAGGGCGCGAGCGUUGUCCGGAUUUAUUGGGCGUAAAGAGCUCGUAGGCGGCUCGUUGCGUCGGCUGUGAAAACCCGAGGCUCAACCUCGGGCCUGCAGCCGAUACGGGCAGACUAGAGUUCGGCAGGGGAGACUGGAAUUCCUGGUGUAGCGGUGAAAUGCGCAGAUAUCAGGAGGAACACCGAUGGCGAAGGCAGGUCUCUGGGCCGCAACUGACGCUGAGGAGCGAAAGCAUGGGGAGCGAACAGG
This 253-nucleotide ribosomal RNA is filed under the name uncultured bacterium. RNAcentral describes it as "partial 16S ribosomal RNA". It matches the Rfam family "Bacterial small subunit ribosomal RNA", at positions 524 to 776 of the family's 1533-position model. The record is from RNAcentral.